CGUGCCCGCUGCCUUUUCGCGUUGCAGCCGCAAACAAGCGCCGGCAGACGACACCUCCCGGCGCGCGGUGACAACGGAAAAUAAAAAGGCACAUACACACACGCACACACUAAAAGUCGCCGCCGCAGAGGCGCGCAACGGCGCGGCAGAGCGCCACGUCGACCGGGCCGCGCGUAUCCGCGGGCACUCCGGCGCGCGUGCUCUCGAUGAGCAAGAGCGUCGGAUCGAUCCCCAAGUCUGCGGCGACAGCGCGCGCGGCUCUCGACAGCAGCGAGUCGGCUCGCGCGAUCCCGCACGCCUCCGGUCGACCCGCGCGUCGCUUGGUGUCGCCAGGUAACGCGCUCCGUCGGCCAACGCGGUAGACGUGUUCGCCGCCGACGACCCAGCCGCAGGCCGUACACACGACGUCGCCCGUGACGAUGUCGUCCACGGUCUGGCUCGCUCCGCAGCCUUUGCAUUCCGCCAUCGCGAGUGCCAAUCCCCCUCCGCUCCCCCGCGAUUCUCGGUCGUUGCCGCGGUCGUCUCGUGGGCAACGGUCGGCAGCAGCGGCGUUGUCACUCGGUGCUUUUUUUUCCCUCUUUAAGAACCCAAAAGAAAAAAAGGCAAGGCCAAGAGAGGCGAGGCCACACGCAUUCGCGCCGUCGGUGCGGCCUCGCCUUGCGGCGCUGCGCAACCACGACAAACCAAAGACACUGACGGUGUUGUUUUUUUCGCACCCCCCCCCCAUCCCAAUCUCUUUGCGGCCAUCGCAAAAUAUUCAUUUGGGGAAAGAGAGAGAGAGA
Molecule: long non-coding RNA, 782 nt
Filed under: Pandoravirus salinus
Description: putative ncRNA
Source: RNAcentral